GAGACAGCAGCAGCCGCGGGAAUACAGAGGCCUCAAGCGUUGUUCGGAUUCAUUGGGCGUAAAGGGAGCGUAGGCGGUCGGGUAAGCCGGAUGUGAAAUCUUGGGGCUCAACCUCAAAACUGCAUUCGAUACUGCUUGGCUAGAGGAGUGGAGGGGAGAUUAGAAUUCACGGUGUAGCAGUGAAAUGCGUAGAUAUCGUGAGGAAGACCAGUGGCGAAGGCGGAUCUCUGGACAUUUCCUGACGCUGAUGCUCGAAGGCCAGGGGAGCAAACGGGAUUAGAUACCCCUGUAGUCCCUGUCUCUUAUAC
This 308-nucleotide ribosomal RNA is filed under the name uncultured bacterium. RNAcentral describes it as "partial 16S ribosomal RNA". It matches the Rfam family "Bacterial small subunit ribosomal RNA", at positions 505 to 807 of the family's 1533-position model. The record is from RNAcentral.